This 446-nucleotide ribosomal RNA is filed under the name uncultured bacterium. RNAcentral describes it as "partial 16S ribosomal RNA". It matches the Rfam family "Bacterial small subunit ribosomal RNA", at positions 338 to 795 of the family's 1533-position model. The record is from RNAcentral.
CCUACGGGGGGCAGCAGUCGAGAAUCAUUCACAAUGGGGGAAACCCUGAUGGUGCGACGCCGCGUGGGGGAAUGAAGGUCUUCGGAUUGUAAACCCCUGUCAUGUGGGAGCAAAUUAAAAAGAUAGUACCACAAGAGGAAGAGACGGCUAACUCUGUGCCCGCAGCAGCGGUAAUACAGCGGGCUCAAGCGUUGUUCGGAAUCACUGGGCGUAAGGCGUGCGUAGGCUGUUUCGUAAGUCGUGAGUGAAAGGCGCGGGCUCAACCCGCGGACGGCACCUGAUACUGCGAGGCUAGAGUAAUGGAGGGGGAACCGGAAUUCGCGGUGUAGCAGUGAAAUGCGUAGAUAUCGAGAGGAACACUCGUGGCGAAGGCGGGUUCCUGGACAUUAACUGACGCUGAGGCACGAAGGCCAGGGGAGCGAAAGGGAUUAGAUACCCUUGUAGUC